AGAGUUUGAUUCUGGCUCAGGAUGAACGCUGGCGGCGUGCUUAACACAUGCAAGUCGAACGGUGCUUAAUGAAACCUAGUGAUUUAAGCACAGUGGCGGACGGGUGAGUAACGCGUGGGUAACCUGCCGCAUGCAGGGGGACAACAGAGGGAAACUUCUGCUAAUACCGCAUAAGCGCACGGGAUCGCAUGAUCCAGUGUGAAAAGAUUUGUCGGCAUGCGAUGGACCCGCGUCUGAUUAGGCAGUUGGUGAGGUAACGGCCCACCAAACCUACGAUCAGUAGCCGGCCUGAGAGGGUGAACGGCCACAUUGGGACUGAGACACGGCCCAAACUCCUACGGGAGGCAGCAGUGGGGAAUAUUGCACAAUGGGGGAAACCCUGAUGCAGCGACGCCGCGUGAGUGAAGAAGCAUUUCGGUGGGUAAAGCUCUGUCAGCAGGAAAGAAAAUGACGGUACCUGACCAAGAAGCCCCGGCUAACUACGUGCCAGCCGCCGC
Molecule: ribosomal RNA, 497 nt
Filed under: uncultured bacterium
Lineage: Bacteria
Description: bacterial SSU rRNA
Rfam family: Bacterial small subunit ribosomal RNA
Source: RNAcentral